Molecule: long non-coding RNA, 1224 nt
Filed under: Androctonus crassicauda
Lineage: Eukaryota; Metazoa; Arthropoda; Arachnida; Scorpiones; Buthidae
Source: RNAcentral
GUUUAUUAUUUAUGUUCUUAUAAAUAUAUAAAUAAGAAACUAAUACAUUUUAUUUUAAAAGUAGAUAAGUAUUAUCUAUAAAAUGAUAUGUAAUAAUUAUAUAAUAAUUAUUAAAUAAAUAAAAGUUCAAUUGAGUUGCCCAGUGGAAAAGAGGCACAUGCCACAGGACAACUAUUUUACAGAAACAAGGAAUUUCUGAAAGUUGUUUUUUUGUGGAAUAUUAACAUUAUGUUUUAAUUUUUUAACCAGGAUUUUGAAUUAGAUGAUGCAUUGGAUAUCUUAUUAAAUAUUAGUUGAAAUAUUCCUAGAUUAAGUGUUUUUAAGCAAUAGGACAGGAAAUUUGUGCAAAUGAAGAAGUGGCAUAUGCCUCAAAUAAUGCAGCUCUUUGCCAAAAAAAAUUCAAAGUCAGGUUAACAGGAACAGUGAAAAUGAAAAACUUCUAAAUACAGAUUUUAUAUUCAAAUGAAUUAUAUUUGAUACAUUUGAAAGAAUAAUCCCAUAUAUAACAUUUUACAUAUUGUAUAAGUCCUCAUUAAUGUCUUCUACUUCAAUCCUCUCCACAGUGUUAUCACUUCUUAGAUUAUUAUAAAAAGAGGCAUAAAUUGGUGGUACAAACUGCAAGAGGUGCUGCAAAUCCUGGAAUUUUGCUUCUUUUAUAGGUCACCCAUUGGGAUAUUUAACUGGUAACGCGCAUUCUUUAAGAGAUGGGGGAUGGUCACAAGACUUCUGCAAACUUAAUUUGGAAGGUUUCUCAGUUACAUCAUGGGAAUAUUUGAUGUAGACAGAGUGCUCUCUAUUUAACUAACCUAAAAACCAUUGCUUUUCUGAUUUUGGCAGGUUUAUUAUCCAUAGUCACAUUUUGCUUUACAAGAUGCUCAUAAUAGAGGACAUGGAAACAAAAUCUUCUUUUUUCAUUUUUACCAUUAUAAAAUAUGGCUUUUUUGUCUUACUUUUUCUUAUUAGUUCAGCCCAUUUUGAAGGAGUCUUCAAUUUUUCUAUUAUUCCAAAAUUUCUAUUGCAUGGCAUGAAUGUAUGGCAGGGAGAAAAAAUCUUUGUUCAGUUUCAUCAAAACACUUUUUGUCUAAUAGGUAUAACCAAAGCCCUAGAAUAAUAUAGUUCUUAUUCUGCCCAACACAUGAAUCUGAAUACACAAUCAGCUUUUGGUGACAUUGUUCUUUCAGUUUCUCUAGAGCCUUUAGAAAACAGCUUGCUACUUCAUCAGCU